GCUUGCACAGGUGCUGCAUGGCUGUCGCCAGCUCGUGUCGUGAGAUGUCGGUUAAGUCCGCUAACGAGCGCAACCCUCGCUGUGUGUUACAAGUGUCACACGGUACUGCCGGUCUUAAGCCGGAGGAAGGUGGGGAUGACGUCAAGUCAGCAUGGCCUUUAUGUCCUGGGCUACACACACGCUACAAUGGCCAACACAAUAGGUUGCUAAGCCGCGAGGUGGAGCCAAUCCUCAAAGUUGGUCUCAGUUCAGAUUGCAGGCUGCAACCCGCCUGCAUGAAGAUGGAGUUGCUAGUAACCGCAGGUCAGCUAUACUGCGGUGAAUACGUUCCCGGGGCUU
Molecule: ribosomal RNA, 339 nt
Filed under: uncultured Leptolinea sp.
Lineage: Bacteria; Bacillati; Chloroflexota; Anaerolineae; Anaerolineales; Anaerolineaceae
Description: bacterial SSU rRNA
Rfam family: Bacterial small subunit ribosomal RNA
Source: RNAcentral